This 594-nucleotide ribosomal RNA is filed under the name Metarhizium sp. Its description in RNAcentral is "partial large subunit ribosomal RNA". It matches the Rfam family "Eukaryotic large subunit ribosomal RNA", at positions 367 to 980 of the family's 3401-position model. The record is from RNAcentral. Lineage: Eukaryota; Fungi; Ascomycota; Sordariomycetes; Hypocreales; Clavicipitaceae.
AAAAAAACUUUGAAAAGAGAGUUAAAUAGUACGUGAAAUUGUUGAAAGGGAAGCACUUAUGACCAGACUUGGCCCCGGUGAAUCAUCCAGCGGUUCCCGCUGGUGCACUUUGCCGGGGUUCAGGCCAGCAUCAGUUCGCUCCGGGGGAUAAAGGCUUUGGGAAUGUGGCUCCCUCGGGAGUGUUAUAGCCCAUUGCGUAAUACCCUGUGGCGGGCUGAGGUUCGCGCUUUAUGCAAGGAUGCUGGCAUAAUGGUCAUCAGUGACCCGUCUUGAAACACGGACCAAGGAGUCGUCUUCGUAUGCGAGUGUUCGGGUGUUAAACCCCUACGCGUAAUGAAAGUGAACGCAGGUGAGAGCCCUCCAGGGCGCAUCAUCGACCGAUCCUGAUGUUCUCGGAUGGAUUUGAGUAAGAGCAUACGGGGCCGGACCCGAAAGAAGGUGAACUAUGCCUGUAUAGGGUGAAGCCAGAGGAAACUCUGGUGGAGGCUCGCAGCGGUUCUGACGUGCAAAUCGAUCGUCAAAUAUGGGCAUGGGGGCGAAAGACUAAUCGAACCUUCUAGUAGCUGGUUUCCGCCGAAGUUCCCCUCCAGGAUA